GACGAACGCUGGCGGCGUGCUUAACACAUGCAAGUCGAACGGAAAGGCCCUGCUUUUGUGGGGUGCUCGAGUGGCGAACGGGUGAGUAACACGUGAGUAACCUGCCCUUGACUUUGGGAUAACUUCAGGAAACUGGGGCUAAUACCGGAUAGGAGCUCCUGCUGCAUGGUGGGGGUUGGAAAGUUUCGGCGGUUGGGGAUGGACUCGCGUCUUAUCAGCUUGUUGGUGGGGUAGUGGCUUACCAAGGCUUUGACGGGUAGCCGGCCUGAGAGGGUGACCGGCCACAUUGGGACUGAGAUACGGCCCAGACUCCUACGGGAGGCAGCAGUGGGGAAUAUUGCACAAUGGGCGGAAGCCUGAUGCAGCAACGCCGCGUGCGGGAUGACGGCCUUCGGGUUGUAAACCGCUUUCGCCUGUGACGAAGCGUGAGUGACGGUAAUGGGUAAAGAAGCACCGGCUAACUACGUG
RNAcentral lists this ribosomal RNA (468 nucleotides) under uncultured bacterium. RNAcentral's name for it is "partial 16S ribosomal RNA". It matches the Rfam family "Bacterial small subunit ribosomal RNA", at positions 28 to 507 of the family's 1533-position model. The record is from RNAcentral.